ACGGGUGAGUAACACGUGGGUAACCUGCCUGUAAGACUGGGAUAACUCCGGGAAACCGGAGCUAAUACCGGAUAGUUCCUUGAACCGCAUGGUUCAAGGAUGAAAGACGGUUUCGGCUGUCACUUACAGAUGGACCCGCGGCGCAUUAGCUAGUUGGUGGGGUAAUGGCUCACCAAGGCGACGAUGCGUAGCCGACCUGAGAGGGUGAUCGGCCACACUGGGACUGAGACACGGCCCAGACUCCUACGGGAGGCAGCAGUAGGGAAUCUUCCGCAAUGGACGAAAGUCUGACGGAGCAACGCCGCGUGAGUGAUGAAGGUUUUCGGAUCGUAAAGCUCUGUUGUUAGGGAAGAACAAGUGCGAGAGUAACUGCUCGCACCUUUACGGUACCUAACCAGAAAGCCACGGCUAACUACGUGCCAGCAGCCGCGGUAAUACGUAGGUGGCAAGCGUUGUCCGGAAUUAUUGGGCGUAAAGGGCUCGCAGGCGGUUUCUUAAGUCUGAUGUGAAAGCCCCCGGCUCAACCGGGGAGGGUCAUUGGAAACUGGGAAACUUGAGUGCAGAAGAGGAGAGUGGAAUUCCA
Molecule: ribosomal RNA, 583 nt
Filed under: Bacillus sp. HRTK133
Lineage: Bacteria; Bacillati; Bacillota; Bacilli; Caryophanales; Bacillaceae
Description: bacterial SSU rRNA
Rfam family: Bacterial small subunit ribosomal RNA
Source: RNAcentral